This 441-nucleotide long non-coding RNA is filed under the name Ictidomys tridecemlineatus (thirteen-lined ground squirrel). Its description in RNAcentral is "lncRNA (ENSSTOG00000030487.1)". The record is from RNAcentral. Lineage: Eukaryota; Metazoa; Chordata; Mammalia; Rodentia; Sciuridae.
GACAGUUGUACUUAGGAAGCGUUGAUCUGACCAAAACUGUUUCUAAUCUCCACAGUGAUAGGGCCUCUCGCCUAUGUGGACUCUGGUUUGGCUGCUCUUAGCACUCCUAAGGCCCUCAUCCUUGUGUUCCCGCCAGUGCUGGACAAGUUUGUAGCCCUGACAACAGGCCUACCACAGUCCUCAAAAGAGUGUUGAAUGCUCUUCAUAAGCAGAAGUGUUGCAGCAAGAGGUCGCCACUGAGAAGGGUACCACCUGUGCACAGAAGCCCAGCCCAGCGGUUUUUAACCGAACAGAUUGCAUCAUCACAUCAGUUACAUAUCCACUGCCCCUCUCUGCUUUAGACUGCUUUAGACUGAAGCUCCAGAGAAGAAACAAACAGAAAAGUGAUCCCAGCUUGGUAAGUGAUAGUCCCAACCUGAUCUUUUCUUAAAAUUGGAACCA